CUGUGGACCAGUAAUAGAUGAUCACAAUCAAUUUACAUGUUUAUUGGUAGUUUAAAAAUAAAUGUUGAAUAGUACUAAGCGGGCGACAAAAUUGGUUCUUUGUGGUGGAGGGACUCAAAAACUGUCAUAAAUUUACCGGGGAAUCAUGGGGUAGGCUGGUUUGGCGACAAUUUGAGGAAGGAGGUAGGGGAAGGCAAGAAUACUAGGUUCUGGUUGGACCCUUGGGUGGAUGGUGUUUCAUUAAGUCAUAAUUUUGGUAGAUUAUUCGAACUGGCAUAGACAAGGGAGUAACAGUGGAAGACAUGAUAGGCGAGGAGGGAGGGGUUAAGUUCGUGAAGUGGAACGGGCGAAGGAGGCUGUUCCGUUGGGAGGAGGAAUUAUCAGAAGUGUGCAGUUGUUUUGUUCUUGGAGCUAUCAAUCUGAAUGGAGGGGAGGAUUGUUGGAAAUGAGCAAAGUCGGAUUACACUGUUAAAGAAGCUUAUACUUGUUUGGGUGAGGAUGAGGUUGAUACAGUGGGUUGAACUAAAUAAGUGUGGAAUCCGUUGGUCCCGUUGAAGAUGUCAGCUCUAGUUUGGAGGCUUCUUCUAAAUAGACUCCCAAUUAAGGACAACGUGUUUGGUUGAACUCGUCCUUAUUGUGUGUGUUGGAUUAUGCCUUCAAAUUAAGCAGAAAAAACANNNNNNNNNNNNNNNNNNNNNNNNUGUGGUAGGAUAGAGACUGCUAGUCACGUAUUUUUCAACCGUCUUAUCCUUUCCGUUUGCUGGAAAGAGUCAUUGAGGUGGUUAGGAGUAUCAGCUGCCUUUCUGGAGGGAUAGAGCACUUGCGCUGUUUCAAAGGCUUGGUGUCUGGUGGAAACAAUGUCGGCGAGAAAUUAGGAGCCAUUUGGUUUUCCAUUGUCUCAUAUACGUGGAAAGUGCGAAAUGGUUGAUCUUCAAGUUGGAUGGAUUCAAUUGGGAGAAGGUGGUGGAGGAAUAUAACGUCUUAUCUUGGAGGAUUAUUAGAUAUAGAUCAAAAGUAUUUAUGUGUAGCUUAAGUCAUUGGUUAGUGAAUCCUAUUGAUUGUCUGGAGUUGAAAAACCCUCUUAGGUGCUGUUUCUGCUGGCUGGCCUGUUAAUUGAUUCUAGGUCCAUGUGUUUUGUCCUUGUUUCGAAUUGUUUUCUUUUGAACACGGCCAGAUUUUGGAGGCGUUCUUGCAUUGCUAGCGUAAAAUCAAGUUCAGUGCGCGGACCUGCUGUUAUGAUCUUCGGUGUUGCAGCUGUGGUGUUUUAUUUUGCAGAACCUGUUUGCGUGCUGCUUAUUCAAUGUUGGUGCUGCUGACAGAUAGCAUUUUCUGCUUUUGUACAGGAUGUGCUCUAUCAGCUAAGUUGGUUGAUCAGUUCAUGUGUUUUGGCUGGACAAUUUCUUUGGAUAUUUAUCUACAGUUUUAGUUAAUAUCUUUAUUGGCAGGGUCGUUUGUUUUUUGUAUAAUAAGGGAAUGGAGUGUAUGAGCUUUUGAGACUUUCUAUUGGCUCCUAGUGUUGAUGCACACAUUUUUAAAACAAACUCAUUUUGGAUUGUUGUUCCUUUUGGCUGGUGAUGAGGAACAUGAUUUUGAGGAGAAUGUCGGUGUUGUGUUGGGGACAAGAUAAAUGAAGUAGAAAGUGAUGAUGAUCGUUGGCAUUCUGAAGAACUUAGGAGUCCUAUAAGUUCUAAUGACGAAGAAGAUGGAAGUGAAAUACUUGUGUUCUAUCAAUUCAAUGAAGCGACAGAGUUUGGUCAUAACAGUCUCGAGAUUGGUUAAAGGUCUGAGAUUCUACUUUCUGAUAUUAAGGGUGUAUAAUACACAUUAGGUGCAAUAUUUGGAUUGUAUUUUCUGAUUCUUAUUGUGUCAAUGUACAUAAUGCAAUCUUGAUAUAGUAGAUUUCAUUGGAAUUUGAAUUACUG
This 1922-nucleotide long non-coding RNA is filed under the name Trifolium pratense (red clover). RNAcentral describes it as "long non-coding RNA (TPRA_LNC001476)". Lineage: Eukaryota; Viridiplantae; Streptophyta; Magnoliopsida; Fabales; Fabaceae. The record is from RNAcentral.